Molecule: long non-coding RNA, 394 nt
Filed under: Bos indicus x Bos taurus (hybrid cattle)
Lineage: Eukaryota; Metazoa; Chordata; Mammalia; Artiodactyla; Bovidae
Description: lncRNA (ENSBIXG00005012034.1)
Source: RNAcentral
CCAUAAUAGAUCAAAUCCGCCUCGGGGGUCCCAGCGUGCGAAUUCCGCCCCAGGAUCCGAAGAAGUCCGAGGGAAUCGAAGGGAAAGCUGCCUUGAUAAGGCCGGACGGGGAGUCAGACGGCCGAAAUGGCGCGCCCUGCAGGCUGGGACUAGACACUCUGACCUCAGCUUCGUCUCUGAUGGCCUUGCAGAUACCAGAAUCCGAGCUCUAAUGGGAAAACGCCCUGAUCAUGGCUGCUUUGGCUUGGCACAAAGGAAAAUGGGACAUGAACCUGCAUCCACUCCCUUCCGGACUCCGCACAAUGAAAGAUAACUACCUCUAAAAUUGGGAGACAGCAGCUGUUCAUACAUUUCUUCAUUAAAUAAACACCGGGAUACCUGCUGAUUGAAACCA